ACGUUCACAUAAUAGGAAAAGACACUACACUCUCUAUACUUAGAGACUUUUUUUGGAAACCCUUUCCUCUUCUUCAUGAAGAAAAAAACACAAAAAUCCUAACUGAAAAAGACCCAAUUCUCACUAGCCAACCAGUCCACGACCUAAACCAGAACUACCAGAUUUGGCUUCGUUCCAUCGACGUCGAGCAGCAGCAACCUUCCCCGUCGACCAGCAGCCCGCCGAGCAGCAUUGAUGCAUCAGCUCACCGCUGCUUCAUCUCUAUAGCUGCUGCUGCAUCGCCCCCUCAACCAGCCCAGUCCGUUACCACCUCUUCACUGUCCAAACAGUCUCGUCCCCAGCAACACUUCACGAACUUCCGUCAUCUUCUCCAGCUCUCCGGCGAGCUAGAGGUUUGUCAAGUUCCGUCUUUGAGUGUCGUCCGAUGAGGUUGUCCAUUCGAAGUUGGAGGUCGUUAUCCAAGGAGUCUGUUUCAGUUGCCGAGUCGAGGUUGGCGUAUGUUGGUUCCGGUCUAUGGUUGUCGCUGUCCAUUUUUUCCGGCGAGUUUGAGCUGCUGGAAUCUGCAUAUCCAGAUUCAUUUGUACGUGCUGAUUGUUUCAAACAUCAAUUGAAAGCUCGCUUCAGGUUCGUCUUUAUUUCCUUUAGUUUUAUGUUGGUGUGAUUUCAACUAGAUAAGAACCUAGCCAGCAGAACGAGAUUUUUGCCUAUCUAUGCCAUAUAUGAAACAUUAUUAUAAAAAAUGUUCAUAAUUUGUUAUUUAUCCUUGUAGUCCAUACUUUUUCUAUAAAAUAUAUACAAUUCCAAUAAUAGGUAGAUUUUGCCAUACAAAGCGCGCUAAAAAUAAGGCACCAGAUCUGCGUGUGAUCCUAUCACCAUUAAAUUCGAAUUUUGAAAACGGAAGGAAAUCUCAUUGCUGCAUAAUUCUCUCCUUCUCCAUAUAUUUUCCACCAUUGAUAACCAUUAAAAAGCUUAAAGCUUUAAAUUCAAAUUUAGAUUUUAAAAAAUCAUUAUUUGUUUGGAUUGGGUGUUUUUGUAAAUAAUUUAGAAUAUGUUUAGGAGUUUAUAUCUCAAUUUUGAAGGGUUUUGGUGAAGAUUAGACUUGGUUUNNNNNNNNNNNNNNNNNNNNNNNNNNNNNNNNNNNNNNNNNNGGGUUUUGGUGAAGAUUAGACUUGGUUUUGACUGAAUUUCAGAUUGAAACUCGUCGAAGAAGAAGAAGACAUAUUUCCAGAAAUUGUAGUUAAAUUGUAAAAUUGUAGAUAAAUUGUAGAUAAUUUGUAGAUAAAUUAUAGAUUGGGAAAACUGAAACUUCUACAAGUCUUCUACAAUUAUGUCGAAAAAUGCCAAUUAUGCUACAAUUGAAAUGAGGAAGACUAAAACUUCUACAAGCCUUCUACAAUUGUGUCAAAAAUGCCAAUUAUUCUACA
RNAcentral lists this long non-coding RNA (1424 nucleotides) under Nicotiana benthamiana. Its description in RNAcentral is "long non-coding RNA (NBEN_LNC029342)". The record is from RNAcentral. Lineage: Eukaryota; Viridiplantae; Streptophyta; Magnoliopsida; Solanales; Solanaceae.